GUGUUUUGGCAGUACAUACACUAAAAUUGGAACGAUACAGAGAAGAUUAGCAUGGCCCCUGCCCA
Small nuclear RNA from Pan paniscus (pygmy chimpanzee), 65 nucleotides. Lineage: Eukaryota; Metazoa; Chordata; Mammalia; Primates; Hominidae. The record is from Ensembl.